AGCGAACGCUGGCGGCAUGCUUAACACAUGCAAGUCGCACGGGCAGCAAUGUCAGUGGCGGACGGGUGAGUAACGCGUAGGAACGUGUCCUGAGGUGGGGGACAACCCCGGGAAACUGGGGCUAAUACCGCAUAUGGGCUGAGGCCCAAAGCCGAGAGGCGCCUUUGGAGCGGCCUGCGUCCGAUUAGGUAGUUGGUGGGGUAAAGGCCUACCAAGCCUGCGAUCGGUAGCUGGUCUGAGAGGACGACCAGCCACACUGGGACUGAGACACGGCCCAGACUCCGACGGGAGGCAGCAGUGGGGAAUAUUGGACAAUGGGCGAAAGCCUGAUCCAGCAAUGCCGCGUGGGUGAAGAAGGUCUUCGGAUCGUAAAGCCCUUUCGACGGGGACGAUGAUGACGGUACCCGUAGAAGAAGCCCCGGCUAACUUCGU
This 432-nucleotide ribosomal RNA is filed under the name uncultured bacterium. RNAcentral describes it as "partial 16S ribosomal RNA". It matches the Rfam family "Bacterial small subunit ribosomal RNA", at positions 30 to 506 of the family's 1533-position model. The record is from RNAcentral.